This 199-nucleotide ribosomal RNA is filed under the name uncultured bacterium. Its description in RNAcentral is "partial 16S ribosomal RNA". It matches the Rfam family "Bacterial small subunit ribosomal RNA", at positions 328 to 539 of the family's 1533-position model. The record is from RNAcentral.
ACGCUCGACACCUACGGGAGGGCAGCAGUGGGGAAUAUUGCACAAUGGGGGAAACCCUGAUGCAGCGACGCCGCGUGGAGGAAGAAGGUCUUCGGAUUGUAAACUCCUGUUGUUGGGGAAAAAGAGGAUGGUACCCAACAAGGAAGUGACGGCUAACUACGUGCCAGGAGCCGCGGUAAUCUGAGCGGGCUGGCAAGGC